UUGAAAGGGAAACGCUUGAAGUCAGUCGUACCGGUGGGUAAACACACUUUUCGGCGUGAUUAUGUGGAGCGUGAGGGAGUUAAAACGCCCUUCACGCCCUGCAUAUUCGUGUUCUUUUGGGUGUACUGACCCCGCCCUGGUAGAGUUUACGUCAAUUUUCGAACCCGCAUAAAAAAAAUUUGGGAAAAAAAUCCUUCGAUCCUCGUAAUUAAAAUGUUUUUUAACUCCCCGGGAGAAUGUUGAUGGAUGGGGAUUGAGGAUUGCAACGGAUACCCUUCUGGGCUACCCGCCUGAUCUCUGAAAGUUGCUCUGGUGCCGAAAGCUCGCUUACGGUCAUCAAAGUUGACGUUCAACAGGUUAGAACGGGAUAAAUUCGUUAAGGAUGUUGACGUA
RNAcentral lists this ribosomal RNA (393 nucleotides) under uncultured Glomeromycotina. RNAcentral describes it as "partial large subunit ribosomal RNA". The record is from RNAcentral. Lineage: Eukaryota; Fungi; Glomeromycota.